Molecule: ribosomal RNA, 496 nt
Filed under: uncultured bacterium
Lineage: Bacteria
Description: partial 16S ribosomal RNA
Rfam family: Bacterial small subunit ribosomal RNA
Source: RNAcentral
AUGAACGCUGGCGGCGUGCCUAAUACAUGCCAGUCGAGCGAACAGACGAGGAGCUUGCUCCUCUGACGUUAGCGGCGGACGGGUGAGUAACACGUGGAUAACCUACCUAUAAGACUGGGAUAACUUCGGGAAACCGGAGCUAAUACCGGAUAAUAUAUUGAACCGCAUGGUUCAAUAGUGAAAGACGGUUUUGCUGUCACUUAUAGAUGGAUCCGCGCCGCAUUAGCUAGUUGGUAAGGUAACGGCUUACCAAGGCAACGAUGCGUAGCCGACCUGAGAGGGUGAUCGGCCACACUGGAACUGAGACACGGUCCAGACUCCUACGGGAGGCAGCAGUAGGGAAUCUUCCGCAAUGGGCGAAAGCCUGACGGAGCAACGCCGCGUGAGUGAUGAAGGUCUUCGGAUCGUAAAACUCUGUUAUUAGGGAAGAACAAAUGUGUAAGUAACUAUGCACGUCUUGACGGUACCUAAUCAGGAAGCCACGGCUAACUACGUG